GAUGAAGAACGUAGCGAAAUGCGAUAAGUAGUGUGAAUUGCAGAAUUCAGUGAAUCAUCGAAUCUUUGAACGCACAUUGCGCCCCUUGGUAUUCCGAGGGGCAUGCCUGUUCGAGCGUCAUUUCAACCCUCAAGCACAGCUUGGUCUUGGGCUUCGCCGCUAACCCGGCGGGUCUUAAAAUCAGUGGCGGUGCCGUCGGGCCCUGAGCGCAGUAAUCUCUCUCGCUAUAGGGUCCCGGUGGAUGCUGGCCAGUAACCCCCAAUUUUCUAUGGUUGACCUCGGAUCAGGUAGGGAUACCCGCUGAACUUAAGCAUAUCAAUAAGCGGAGGA
This 330-nucleotide unclassified non-coding RNA is filed under the name soil metagenome. RNAcentral describes it as "partial contains 5.8S ribosomal RNA, internal transcribed spacer 2, and large subunit ribosomal RNA". The stretch from base 1 to 120 matches the Rfam family "5.8S ribosomal RNA", at positions 35 to 154 of the family's 154-position model. The record is from RNAcentral.